CCUCCCUUAUUCUCUGCAUCCCACUUCAACCUAUCAGUCUCUCAGUAACCCGACGACACACAGCAUGGAGCUCUGUCUUCUGCUAGUGUUGAGCUUGUGUUCCCACUCUGGAUGUGCUGCAGUGGAUAACACUCAAGAUGCAGCACUGCACCCAGUUACCUCUGAAGACGGCGAACAUGCCGUGUCUCCAGAAAACACUGAAGAUGGUCGAAAUGAGCCUCCCAACACCUCAGUCAC
This is a long non-coding RNA of Sardina pilchardus (European sardine), 237 nucleotides long. RefSeq lists it as uncharacterized. The transcript is spliced from 3 exons. Lineage: Eukaryota; Metazoa; Chordata; Actinopteri; Clupeiformes; Clupeidae. The record is from RefSeq and is a predicted model, not a curated record.